CAAUAGCGUAUAUUAAAGUUGUUGCGGUUAAAAAGCUCGUAGUUGGAUCUCGGCAGGCAGGGGGUGGUUCGCUCUUAGCGCUACUGCCCCAUUUGCCUGUGUGAUUGGCGGAGGUUUCGGGGUGCUCUUCGUUGAGUGACCCGGGGCGCCGUCAGGUUUACUUUGAAAAAAUUAGAGUGCUCAAAGCAGGCUUUUCACGCUUGAAUAUUCGUGCAUGGAAUAAUGGAAUAGGGACUCGUUUCUAUUUUGUUGGUUUUCGGAAAUCGAGUUAAUGAUUAAUAGGGACAAUUGGGGGCAUUAGUAUUCAGACGACAGAGGUGAAAUUCUUGGACCGUCUGAAGACUAACUACUGCGAAAGCAUUUGCCAAGAGUGUUUUCAUUAA
Molecule: ribosomal RNA, 383 nt
Filed under: uncultured eukaryote
Lineage: Eukaryota
Description: partial 18S ribosomal RNA
Rfam family: Eukaryotic small subunit ribosomal RNA
Source: RNAcentral